Long non-coding RNA from Erinaceus europaeus (western European hedgehog), 1569 nucleotides. RefSeq lists it as uncharacterized. Lineage: Eukaryota; Metazoa; Chordata; Mammalia; Eulipotyphla; Erinaceidae. The record is from RefSeq and is a predicted model, not a curated record. The transcript has 2 exons.
GAAUUGCCUGCAUGGCUCUACUGCAACCAGUAACCUUUUUUUCUUUUUUUUUUUUUAUACAGAGACAGGGAGAGAGAGAGAGAGAGUUAAGGGGAAAGAGAGAGAGAGAGAGACCUGCAGCACUACUCCACCAUUUGUGAAGCUUCUGCCUGUUGGAACUGGAGGCUUGAACUCGAAUCCUUGUGCACUGUAAUGUGUGUGGUCUUCUGGGCGUACUACCACCCAGCCCCCUUCUAUAGCUUUCUAACUCAGAAAACUUUGAGGAAAAGAAGGUCAGAAGAGGGAAGAUGAAAGAGAAGGAAAAGGAGGGGAGGGUUGAGUAAAAGGAAGGAGAAAGAGGAGAAGAGGAGGAGGAGAAUGAAGAGGUGAUGAUGGUGGUAAUGGUGGCAAGACUGGAGGUAUAUGCAAAUGUAAGUUCCUGGAUAAACUUAAGUUCAAUCUUCUCCACUAAAUGACUCUUCCUUUGGGAAAAGCCUUUCUUCUCAGAGGCCAUUUCCAUUCUAUCUCUAGGGCCUCUCCUAUGAAGUCAAUCUUUUGUCAAAGACAUAUUUUAGGCUGGCAGAUUUUUGCUCCUCUGUAUUCAGUAGUUCUAUCUCUCUUGUCCUAGGCCUUUGAAAUAAAGGAAUUUUCCUCUUGCCAACAUUAAGAGAACCCUAGACAUCCCCAGGCUGCCCCUGGCAAAAUUCUGGAACUACUUUUUGUUUUUGUUUUUGUUUUUCCCUGUUUUAAACUUUCCUCACUCUGCUCAUUCCCUUGUUCUUUUAGUGUAUCCAUUCUACAAACACACAUUGAGAGGCGACUCUCUGUGUUACUGUUGGGGUGCAGCGGAGAACCAGACAUGAGCUCACUCUCUCCCAGGCCCACUUGGUGUCUGACCUCACAGCCCCAACUUUCACAUCUGGAGAGACCCCACAGUGAAACCCUGGCGGCCAGAGCUGUUGCCUGCUGUCUGAUGCAACAGUUUGCAACGCUGAUUCUGGGAGCUGAGCCUGCCGCGGGGCGCCCUGCCUGCGCGCAUGCGCGGACUGCGGCCCGCCCGAGAGGGGGGGCGAGAAGCUUUUGGCCAGAUGUGCUGGGGGCGGGGCAGGCUGCGGACCUCUGGCUGCUGGCGCUGGCGAUCCGAGCUUAAUUAAAUUUCUCCGGAGGCCUUGGCUGACUGAUUGACCCAGUAAUCCAAAGAAAUCAGAGGCCCGAAGCGCCCUCCCCAGUGCCUGGAGAGAAAAGUUAGGGAGUUCGUUUUCGAAUUCCAGGGUUAGGCCUUGAGGGGCGGUGGGGGAAAAGGGGGGCAGCCACAGGCUCUGUGGUUCCAAAACCCCGAGGGAGCUCAAGCCUAGCUGAUCUAGACUACGUUUCUCACGAAGGGAUUUAAAAAAAAAAGUCUGGAAGCAUCUUUGUUACUAUCUUCCUGCCUCCACCCAGGUGCCUUCGGUUUUAUUAGCAAAAGGGAAAAUAGCAUCAUGGAUGGUUUUCCACGUCUUUUUCAGCCAGUUAGGACUUGCCUGCCUGGUUUUUCUUUUGCUUUUUUUCUUUCCAAACCCGCAUUCCACCUCGAAUAUAUAUAUAAAACAU